GCGUGUCGCCUCAUCUUUAUGCGUGUGAAAAGAAUAGGCUACGUUCGAUACAAUUAAUGCAAAAGAUAAUGACAAACUCAACUGUGAAGAAGAGAUCAACUCCGAUUGCUUGAUGGACUGAAACCGUAUUGACCAAUGGCACCGACAGUCGAUCAAACAUCGGAGUCAUGGCCGGUGGCUCACCAAACGCACUAUGUGGCGACAAAUGAUUUCUAAACAUGUCUGAUUAAUUUUGGACUAUCACGGUAUUUAGGUGGAGGCUACUGUCCGUGAGCGAAGUUGACAUUUCAUGAAUGAUGCCAGUUCUGUUUGGAAUCAUACUUCUGUUUUGGUUAGUGGAUGAGUGCACAGCUUCCAAGAACUACUGCUGGUAUUUUGAAGGAGGCUACUCCAUCCAUUUAAUAUGCCGAUCGUAUGAGGACUGUUGUGGGACACGGUGCUGUGUCAGAGCCCUCUCCAUCCAGAGACUAUGGCACUUCUGGUGAUUCAGCUUAGCUCAGUGCUUUUUGUGGUGGUGGGGCACCCAUAUGUGGUGGUGGGGCAUCACACAUCCCCAUAUGCUCCAUUCACCACUUAAACUUACUCAACAGUGAUCCCAUCAUUGAUCUGAGCGCAACUGUUAAUCUGGGUCACGGCACCACUGUAAACGACGUCACGCUGCUUGCUUAGCUGCUGCUGAUGAUGGGUGUGUUGUUCUGCUGUGGGGCGGGGUUCUUCAUCCGCAGAUGCAUGUACCCCUCCCCCUUCCUGAAGACACCUUUAAUGUGGCAUUCACCAGACACCCAAUGACAGCUCCAGGACUGCAGCAGGCCAGCAUGCAGAACUAUGGGGACCCAGGAGGGAUGAUCCUCACCCCUACCUUCCCCUACAGCCCCCAUCCCUAUCCCUCCCACUUGGCAGCACCUUACCCACACCCAACCCCUCCUGCUUACUGCAACCUCCCUCCUCCACCCUAUGAACAGGUGCUGCAGGCCUCGGAGAAGAGGUAACCUGGAGGAAAGACAUUGGAAUUAAUGAAAUGAUUUCAAACCCUUCAGAGUUCCCAACGCCGCCACAACUGGCAGCAAAGCGAGAGAGAGUUCUCUGCACGUCAAUAAGGAAGGGUCACUAUCCUACAUUUUGACUCAUGGGUAAAAAGCGAGUCUGAUAUUGUAGACUACUAGACUAUGGAAAAGCAUCUCUACAUUAAAAACAUCUCAUUAAGGGACGCUGGCCCUGGACCAAAAAGCAUGCAUUUAAAUAGCUUUUUAGUCCGGGACUAGGCUUAAUCUGUGUCUGAGAAACCAGCCCCGAAAGCAGCUUCAGUCUGUACCACAAUGAAUCGGUGUCAAAGUGUUUGUUUUGACGUCACCUCUCGAAGAGACCCAACAGGAUAAAAACAGACAUGGAUUCAGAAAGAGAGGUGCUCUGUCAACAACACUGUGUCAGCUGGAAGAGCAGCAUCUAUCUGAGCACAACUCACUCAGAUCACCCACUCAGGAUACUGUAUUAUCGCCCACUGUCUGGUAUGUGUUUAAUAUUACUGCGGUUGGAGCAUUUAGUAUCUCUAGUUGAGGAACAAGUUUACUGUAGAUCAGAAGCCUGUAAUGCUGUGGACAUACUAUAGUCAUGGCAAAUCAGUUUAGCUUUGUCUCUUAAUUCAUUUUGGUGCAUGACUUUCCUCUAUAUUUUAUGCAAUUUGCGAAUGAAUUCAGGUAUAGUGUGGUCAUUGUUUCAAAAAUAAAACACAAAAAAAAUCACAGUAUCCUGAAUUAACAGAGGGUAAAUAUAUCACCAGCUUGCCUAAUAAAGUGA
RNA transcript from Oncorhynchus gorbuscha (pink salmon), 1794 nucleotides. It is a transcript of the gene named vesicular, overexpressed in cancer, prosurvival protein 1-like, with no coding region annotated. Lineage: Eukaryota; Metazoa; Chordata; Actinopteri; Salmoniformes; Salmonidae. The transcript is spliced from 6 exons. The record is from RefSeq and is a predicted model, not a curated record.